UACGAAGGGGGCUAGCGUUGUUCGGAUUUACUGGGCGUAAAGCGCACGUAGGCGGAUUGUUAAGUCAGAGGUGAAAUCCUGGAGCUCAACUCCAGAACUGCCUUUGAUACUGGCAAUCUCGAGUCCGGAAGAGGUGAGUGGAACCUCCUAGUGUAGAGGUGGAAUUCGUAGAUAUUAGGAAGAACACCAGUGGCGAAGGCGGCUAC
This 206-nucleotide ribosomal RNA is filed under the name uncultured bacterium. RNAcentral describes it as "partial 16S ribosomal RNA". It matches the Rfam family "Bacterial small subunit ribosomal RNA", at positions 524 to 729 of the family's 1533-position model. The record is from RNAcentral.